Molecule: ribosomal RNA, 229 nt
Filed under: uncultured bacterium
Lineage: Bacteria
Description: partial 16S ribosomal RNA
Rfam family: Bacterial small subunit ribosomal RNA
Source: RNAcentral
CUCGUAGGCGGUUUGUUAAGUCGGAUGUGAAAGCCCUGGGCUCAACCUGGGAACUGCAUUCGAUACUGGCAAACUAGAGUAUAGAAGAGGCAAGUGGAAUUCCAGGUGUAGCGGUGAAAUGCGUAGAUAUCUGGAGGAACAUCAGUGGCGAAGGCGACUUGCUGGUCUAAUACUAACGCUGAGGAGCGAAAGCGUGGGGAGCAAACAGGAUUAGAUACCCUGGUAGUCC